AUGGUGAGGAUACUAGAAAAUAGAACUAAAUCUGAGAAAUGGGAAGGGACCAUUUGUCCUAAUGUAUUCAAAAAACUAAAGCAGAACAUUAAAAGAUCAGGAAAUUGUGAUGUGCUCUGGAAUGGAAAAGAGGGAUUUGAGGUUCUCGAACAUGAGAAGUUCAAGUUCACAGUGAACUUGGAAGCAUGGACAUGCUCAUGCAGAUACUGGCAGCUAUCUGGCAUUCCAUGUUGUCAUGCAAUAAGUGCUAUAUACAAAACAUGGAAAAGAAUAGAUGAUUACAUCGCAAAGUGCUACUCUAUUGAAGUAUACAAGAAAAUCUAUUCACAUUGUCUUGAGCCGUUGGAGGGGGAAGAAAGCUGGCCGACAUCAGAUCAAGUUAAACCUGCACCUCCAGGGUACAUGAGCUUGCCAGGCAGGCCAAAAACAGAGAGAAGAAGAGAGGAAGGAGAAGCACCAAAGGCAUGAAAGGGAAAUAAGAUGAGGAAGAUAGGUGGGACAAUAACAUGCAGUUCAUGCCAUAGGACAGGUCACAACAUGAAAGGAUGCAAAAAAAAUGAGGCUGGCAAGCACAACGGCAAUUCACACAUUGUGAGACAUGCGACAAAGAAGAGGAAACAAGACAAAGAUGCAAUGGAAGCAGAAAAUGCUAAGAAAGCAAAGGUAUGUUUCAUGUAG
RNAcentral lists this ribosomal RNA (678 nucleotides) under Triticum aestivum (bread wheat). RNAcentral's name for it is "partial small subunit ribosomal RNA". Lineage: Eukaryota; Viridiplantae; Streptophyta; Magnoliopsida; Poales; Poaceae. The record is from RNAcentral.